UCGCCACAAAGAAGCUUUUGUGAAACAGAAAGGUUCUUCAGAUGUUAAAGCUUCUUUAUGGAACCAUUUAGACAAAAAGGUUCUUCUAUGGCAUCACUGUGAAGCAGCUUUAUUUUUAAGAGUGUAUUACAGAUGAUAAAUGGUGCAUUAUUGUAAAACUGUCCCCUUAUACAGCCAGUAUUUCUGUUUUCUGGUCCCUCUGACUGGUUCUUGGUCCCUCUGUGUCUCCCCAUUUAAACCAAUAGACCGUAACCCUGUGUGACCUCAGCCCUGACCGAGCCUGCCAGGAUCCAAAAUGUGAGUCAAUAAAUAUCAUGGUAAAAUGACUUUUGCAAUAUUGACAAGUCUUCUAAAACAGUACAAAAGCUUUGUGUGAGGAACAAACUCAAAUGUAUGCCAUUAUUAAACUAACACCAAAAUUUAGAAGCAUAACUUUUGGAGAUUUUUUUUUAAACGAGAAAUUGAUAUUUGAUCUUUUUUUCUGCUCAAGUUCUUCAUGUUGAUUCAUGCAAAAGGGAGGAGCAUUUUCAUGACAGAACCAGAAAUAGAAGAAAAUCUGAUCAAACCUGAACUGCAGCUCGACUCCUGGUGAGUUUAUCAUUCCUGCAACAGCGUGUUUAAUGCAAACGUGUCAGAUUAUUAUUCUUAUAAACCAGGACACAUAUUUAUUGAGAUUGUAUUUGUUCUUUCAGAAGCAUGUUCAUGUGUUUGUGAUCUGAGAUGCAGUGAAGAUGGCAGCAGGGACUAAAACUCUUCCUGAUAUUUUCAUUUUUGACUCCAGUGAUGAUGUAGUGAUCCGGAUUCUUCUGCAGGGCAGAAACACUUCUGGGAAAAGCUCAUCUGGGAACACUAUACUGGGAGAAGAGAGGUUUAAAAGGCACAAGUCUGAGGUGUGUGAGGGUCAAGCUCAGAUCUGUGGGAAGCAGGUGGCCGUGAUUGAUUGUCCAGAUCUACUGGAUCCAGCUCUGAAUGAAGAGCAGCUGGAGAAGAUGAAAGAGCAGCUGGUCUCUGGAUGUUCAGCAGGUCUCAGUGCAGUUCUGCUC
This 1043-nucleotide long non-coding RNA is filed under the name Sinocyclocheilus grahami. RNAcentral describes it as "lncRNA (ENSSGRG00000011720.1)". The record is from RNAcentral. Lineage: Eukaryota; Metazoa; Chordata; Actinopteri; Cypriniformes; Cyprinidae.